RNAcentral lists this transfer RNA (75 nucleotides) under Schistocerca americana (American grasshopper). Its description in RNAcentral is "tRNA-Thr". It matches the Rfam family "tRNA". From Rfam's summary of the family: Transfer RNA (tRNA) molecules are approximately 80 nucleotides in length. Their secondary structure includes four short double-helical elements and three loops (D, anti-codon, and T loops). Further hydrogen bonds mediate the characteristic L-shaped molecular structure. tRNAs have two regions of fundamental functional importance: the anti-codon, which is responsible for specific mRNA codon recognition, and the 3' end, to which the tRNAs corresponding amino acid is attached (by aminoacyl-tRNA synthetases). tRNAs cope with the degeneracy of the genetic code in two manners: having more than one tRNA (with a specific anti-codon) for a particular amino acid; and 'wobble' base-pairing, i.e. permitting non-standard base-pairing at the 3rd anti-codon position. Lineage: Eukaryota; Metazoa; Arthropoda; Insecta; Orthoptera; Acrididae. The record is from RNAcentral.
GUUCUCGGUGGCUCAGCUGGAUAGAGCGUCUGCUUUGUAAGCAGGAGGUCCCGGGUUCGAGUCCCAAUCGGGACA